This 626-nucleotide long non-coding RNA is filed under the name Mustela putorius furo (domestic ferret). RNAcentral's name for it is "lncRNA (ENSMPUG00000029837.1)". The record is from RNAcentral. Lineage: Eukaryota; Metazoa; Chordata; Mammalia; Carnivora; Mustelidae.
GGCUGCGGAAUGGAUGCAGAACAAUACAUUAAAGCAUGGAAUGUCAUAGCUGUUAAAUGAUUCUGGUUGUAGGAUAGAAUCCUGGAAAAGAUUCAAGUUAGGACAUGAUUGGGAAUACAGAAUGGAGGAAAAUGGUGGAGCACCAGGUACACCAGGAAAAGGAAGUGGGUCUUUAUCAUAAAGAAACACUGGUUUUGAGGACACCAAAAGAAUUUCCAGAGGAAGCAUAUGGACAUCAGGAAAUUACGUUGCCUUUUGAUCAUGAACGAGUCAUCUGCAAGUGUCCCUUGAGAGGUGAGAUUGGCCCAGGACUUCAUUUUCAAAGAGAACUGUUGGAGAAUUAAAGCCAAAAGCAUCUGGGACCAACUAGACAACCCAAUCAGCUUAUCUUUGCAUGAACUAUGACAGACAUCAAAUGUAACUCCAAAAAACAUCAAAGCAAUUGCCUGUGGAUUCUGCCAAAAGAGAAAAUGCUGCCAGUGUAAAAGAGCAUUCCUGGCUUAGCAGCUGGAGCCUCAAACUGCCUUUUUUUUUUUUUUUUUUAAUGAGCAAAAAUAGAAGCACAAACGGUGGUCAGCAAUAGUUGGGGAGCAUGAAGUGAAAAUAUUUAAUAAAAUGCAUUUGCU